This is a non-coding RNA of Meleagris gallopavo (turkey), 7536 nucleotides long. Lineage: Eukaryota; Metazoa; Chordata; Aves; Galliformes; Phasianidae. The record is from RefSeq and is a predicted model, not a curated record.
AAAAAAAGAAGUCUAAUGAAAUGCCGAGUUGUGCUAAGUGUUUUAUACUGCAUAGAGUCCUGCUAGUUUUUAUUUUCUAUUAAAUACAUAUACUGAUUAAGUUUGGAAUGGGUUUGAUAAAAUGGCAAAAACUUAUCAUCACAGAAUAAAAAGAUAAAUACGAUAGAGGCAAAGAGAAAGAUGGACCAUCAAACAGAUAGCUAGAAGAGUCUAUAACUAGCAAUGAUAUUCUUUCAUAUUUGUGUUUGGAAUUCAUAUAUUGCGGUAGCAAUGGAGGAAGGGCUAAUUUCCAUCCCCACGUGAAUCAUUUGCUUAUGUAGGAUAAUCCUAUGUGCACAAUUAAAACACUCCCCAUAAACACAAACAUGUAAAGAGUUUUAUGUUGCUUAAACUUUUAAAGAUGCAAAAAGCUCAUGCUUCUGACUUCAGUGAGCUACAUUCUUUCAUAAAUAUUUGUAAGAUACAGAAAAAUUGUUUAGUGAUUCUCAAUAUACAAAGGUAAGGUUUUAAAGUAAAAUAGAGAAAUAAACAAAUGAUUAGUCAGGUUCUGUUUGGAUUUUUUGAAGAAAAACUUCCAGAGAAUUGAGUGAGAGUGAAGAUUUCUUGGAACAAAUUGGGCAGGAAAUUCAUACUUUGGAGAUAGACCAGAACAAAAAAAUCCAGGGACUGUCAAAUAUUUUAACAGAGUGGAAUUGAACAUGUGCAUAGGUGUUGUACUGCAUCCCUAUGCAAAUGAAUUUUGUUCCAAGUAAGGGAGACAAUAAGAUGAAAUAAUUCUUAGUCAAUGCAGACUAUCUAUUAAAAAAUUGCUGCUUUUAAUCUAGUGGAUAUUCAAUCUGAAAACAGCUAUAUCUUCCAAAUAAUUAUUAAUGGGAUGCUGUGAAUGAUGACUUCAUUAGAAGGUAAUCCCUAAACAGACGUCAAGUGAUUUGCAAUUUAUCUUCAAUACUAAUUUUUGUAAUGCAUAAAUAAAUGUAAACAAACAAGUGGAUCAUAUAUAAGCCAUAAAUUCAGACAUUUUGAGUCUGUCUUUUGUUGCCUUGCCUUACAAAAAUAAUUCAACUCUCAGUCAUUUUUAGUCUUAGUCACUCUAAAUACAAGUAAAUGAUAUAUACAUUUGUUUGCAAAAUGAUGUAAGCAGUAACUUUUUUUUUGUUUUGCCAGUGUAAGAAGUUUAGAAUAAAGCCUUUAUAGUGUUUAUAACUACUGUACACACACCUAGUCUGAAUGUUGCUAGACGACGGUUUUGAAUAGAGCUGUAAUAUUAUAUUCCUGUAGCUUGGACUCAAAACAACAGCCUCAAAUUCCAAUCACCACAGGAACGGGGGUUGUCUAUCCUGGUGCUAUUACCAUGGCAACUACCACACCAUCACCUCAGAUGACAUCGGAUUGCUCAAGCACCUCCGCCAGCCCUGAGCCCAGCAUACCCGUCAUUCAGAGCACUUAUGGGAUGAAGACAGACAGCGGAAGCCUUGCUGGAAACGAAAUGAUAAAUGGAGAGGAUGAAAUUGAAAUGUACGAGGACUACGAGGAUGAUCCCAAAUCAGACUAUAGUAGUGAAAACGAAGCCCAUGAGGCAGUCAGUGCCAACUGAGGAGUGUUCACAGAAUUAAAGUACUCAGACUCUUUUUUUUUUUUUUCGGAUUUUUUUUGAACAAAAAGUUCUUAAAGAGCCUGCAUGCAUGUGUGGCUCCUACAGUUACAUCAGCAGAAUGGUCUUAAAUGUUUCUUAACGUGUGAGACAGAUUGUUUCCCUAAUUUUUCAUGAACUUGGGUUUUUUUGUUGUUUUGUUUUUUAAAUUUAGAUGAAGACAUAUAUUAAAUAUCAGACAUCAGGACUUGAAAACUUAUAUGAAUCAAUAGCUGUCUUACAAGUCUUACCUUUUGUCUUUUUCCUUUUGGAUGCUGAUAAAGGCUUAAGUUACUGUUUUAGAUGGGGGUUAUACAUUCUCACUCAGGUAUGCUGUGCCAGCCUACAGGUUGUGAAUGUGUUUUUAUUCUGGAUUAUUUUAGAAAACAAAAACUGCAGAUUUCAUAUUGUGAAAUAGAACAAGUCCGCAAGUGUGCACAUCUGUGCAUCAUAGCUCAUCUUUAAAAAAUCGUCUCUGAAUUCCAUUUUUUUCCAUAUGUAUAGCUGAACUUCUGAUGUGCCAAACUUUUCUUAACUUUUGAAUCUUAACAUUUAAAAAAGAGUCUUAAAGGAGACACUGUAAAGUCUUAGACAAUCCUUUGGCAUCUUAAAAAAAAUAUAUAUAAAAAACUAAUUUUUUUUUCCAGAAAAUGGUGAAGUACUCAGGAAUCUGGAGACAGGAUAUUCUUAAGUAGUGAACCUGGUUGCCAUAGUGCAUGUGCCCAAUUGCUUUUGCCUCUUGAUGCCAUUAGUGUGAAGUUUUAAGUAAGCACAAAAGAGCGAUCACCAGCUAUGGAAGGGCCUGUCUUAGCAGUGUGAGGCCACCUUUGACUACAUUCUCUACCCUUUUGCUUUUAACCCUUGCAUUCAGUCUUAACACAUUUUCUCUUAAAUAAUUUAUUCAUUCCAGAAUGUCAAGGGUCCAAAUACUUAAUAUUUAUUUUUAAAAGUACUGUUGGUGGCAUUACACUUACAAUUCCUUAUUGAUAUUUUAAAGAGCUCCUUCUCCUCCUUCAAAUUACAUAGGUAUGUGAAAAUAAAAGUGCACCUGCUACUAAAACGAACAUGACAUUUAUGAAUGAGAAAUUCAAUUGUUUCCAUAACAGUGUGUGUUCAAGGAGUACUUGGAAACACUCUGAUAUAUAACACAAAAUAAAGUGAGUAUUUUUAUAUGUACAUACAGUACAAAUACUCUAAAAAUUUGUGUUUAUAGUUACAAACCUCUAUACUUAGCUGGACAGUAAAGGCAGAUAUGAAAUCAAAAUCCAUAUAGAAUCUACCGUGAUGAAUUCUUAGGGCUUGUAGAAUCCUGCAGUGAAUCAUGGCUCCACACAUCACAUUUCUGUUGUCACCUGAAGGAACUGUUUGCUAUCUUGAGUAUUUGUGCAGUGAUUUAUAUGUGAGACUCCUAGUGGAGGAGGGAAGGCCACAAAAAUAACUGGCUUGCAAAGCUGAGAAAACGAUGCAUCAGAAAUAUUUACUGAAUAUUAUUCAUACGGGAGUGCGAACUAGAUCUUCAUGGGUGUUUGUAAAGUUCUUUGGGAUCUUUGGUGGCAAGGUGUACCCAAAGUUUUUAUUUGUAUUAUUACUGGAAACAAUGCAAUUGCUACAGAAAAGUCUAGGAAAUACACAAGAAAGUUAUAUUCAAGGAGUUUGUUAAUGUUCAGAGAAGGAAAAGAAAAAAGAAAUUGCCAUUUUUUUCCCCAUUCGCAUUCCACUGCUGUUCAUAAAUAUAUCUCUAUAUAAAAUGCAGAUCCAAUGGGCCUGGUGAAUACCUGUGCUGAAGCUCCUCAACUCCCUCAGCUUUUAUUUUGAACUGGAUAUGUUCAGCACAUUGAUGAUAAAUUCGGACUCAGGCUGAGAGGCAUGAAUGAGCCUAGGACAGCUCUUCCCAAAGUCUGAGGGAAUCUUCCCACAGAGCUGAAUGGGCUUUGCAUAGACACCAGACAAUGAGAGGAUGGUAGUACUAAUGCUGGUCAUCGUCAUGCUGUUGCACUAUCGUGCAGAAAUUCAUGAGGUGCAAUGAUAAGGAGCUGCCAUUUUCCUCAGAGCCCCGGUAAUACCUCUUAGAGCAGACAGAGCCAUUGUUGCCACUGUAGGGAUCACGUUAAAUGUGCAAGAACAACCCCCAAAACAAAGAAGACCGUUCAAUUUACAGGACAAUUUAUAAAGUUAAUGGCAUAGAAACACAAUGGUUAGACUGCUCUGACCAUUUUGUAAUUUGGAACAAAAUGCUAUAUUUUUAAUAUUUAUUUAAAUGUGUUCUGAGUCCAUGUCUAAUAAGCAAUAAACCGGUCUAGCCAAGACUUUAAAGGCAAAUGCUGUGUCGUUUAGCUGGUGAGCGCCCUCUUCAAGCUGGCUAAGGUACUGAUAGAAAGUGUUUUUUGUUCUCACAAUUGCUUGGGAAUUGGAACUGUUUUUAAUACAUUCAGCUCAGAUUGGGGGGAGGGUACCAUUAUUUCCUAAAAGAAAUGACUAUUUAUUAAUGUCUUACAUAAUUCUUAUGUUAGAAGUAUCUCUCCCUCCUCCCAUGUCACUUUUUCUCUCUUGCUCUUUUUUUUCUGGUUUUGUUGCAUUGGUAGAAUGCUGUAUUGCUAGUAUUGUAUUUUAUGUAAUUAUUUUUUUUUUUGCACAAAGGCAAACAUUUAGAUUAGUUGGUUAAUUUUUUUAAAUUUUAUGACCAUGCCAAAAUAAUAUUCUGCAGGCUUGUGGAGAACAAAGGACUGUUCUUUAGGACUGAAACUUGAUUUUGCUUGUAGUACAAAAAAACACACACUCACAGAUGUUGUUUCGUAAGUGUUAUAAGCACUGGAUAUAAAUGGUAUUUUUUAUCACUUCUGACUAAUGUGAAACUGUUGUACGAAAACUACAUGAACAAAAGUCAUCUGUUUCGACUCGUGUGGGCCUGCCUCACAGUUGCCGGAUUUGAGUCAUUUUUAUGUCUUGUUAUUUCAUUUAUUUAUGCAAAAUACAUGUAUGUAUGAACACUUUGUUUUAGCUCCAGCCCUGCCUCAGUGCUGAUGCUCUCUAUGUUAAAGCCACAUUCUUGAAAAUGACUGGCUGUUCAGGAAUUGCCAGCUAGUAAAAAUUGCAUUUAUUGGCUGGUAAAGUGGGAGGAACAUAUUUGAAUUUGAAUUGUGCAUGUGAGCAUUUUAUUCUAUUUAUUAGCCGACAUUGGCUCUAAAAUGUCAGUAGAAGGAAGGACAAUCAUAAGGAUAAAAAACAACUUUUUUACUUUAUUAAUCGGAGCUCAAAACAAAGUUUUUGAUGAAUUUACCAUCUCAUUUUAGAUUUUUUUUUUUUAAAUUGUGUAAAUAUAACAUAGGAAAUAGAAUUUUAUUUUUUGUUCAUGGAUACUUAGUGAAGUAUAAGUUAUGUAUUUACUUUUGUUCUAUAUCAGUGUAUGUUGGUCCAUAUUAAAUGCUGACAAGUCACUGUACCUCAUGUAGAUGCUGAAUUUACACCCGCAGUGUGAGCGCAGUAUUGUGGACCUGUAGCUGGGACAGCAAGAUGCCUCACUUGUGCUCUCACUGAUUUUUGGUAGCAUAUCCCACAAACACAGAAUACUUUUUUCUUGUUUUAGAAAGUUGAUACAUGAAACACACAAAAUUGCAGAUACAGCUGAUAGGAAACACAAUUAUUUUUUUUUCUGAAUCCAAGUAAAACUGAUUAAAUGUUUUAGUUCUUAACAAGAAUGGCAUUUAGAAGUCAAAAGCAUAUCCCUGGAGAGAUUGUCAUGAAUAUAAGAUGGCUCUUGCAAUGCAAUCAAGACUUAGUAAUAUCAAAUCUUUAUUUUCUACAUUAAGUAAAUCACACUAUUGUUACAUUAGGCUGCAAUGUCAGGGGAAAAAGUUCACACAAAACACAAACAGGACUUUCAGAAUUGCUCUUUAAAUGUUGUGUUUGAGAUCUUCUUAAUAACUCUGACUGAAAAAAAUAACAACUCCAUUCAGAUAAUACACAAAUACAGUAAUACUUCUCCACGAAUUAGCAGCUUAUUUAAUUAGAACAGAUACAAUAUAUUUUCUUUUUGGAAAAAUUUAAAUAUUUGUUUUCAAGAGAAGAACACUCCUGAAACUGUCUGAUAUGAGCUAGUAUAGUUCACUUCCAAUUCCAUGGAACAGGGUUCAGGUUUACAUGGAGGCAUGACUGAUGAAAUAGCCUAGUUCUGGUUGAUACGUGUGUUCGGAUGUCACCAUUUAGUUAAUGAAACUGCCUGCUGGGAAUACACGGGAUCACAAUGUGCUCCUAAAUCAGCGUACUCAGGUGCAGCACAAGGCAGGGGGAGGGCAAAGGACGCUACUGCUCGGGGUGGGGAAUGCAAAACAAACAGCGGCAUUGCAACGUAUGCAGCAGUCAGCUGAGGACAGCUACUGCUUUGAGCAUAAACACAACCUCCGCCCAAUGCAACCUGAACCGCGGUCCUCUCACUGGGUUGGCUUUCUGGUUUCAUUUUUUGGUCAUACCAAAGGCGUGGCAUUUCAAAAAUCAUCUCCUAGCAAAACAUACAACAAGAUUAACACCCCCACCCUCCCUCAGCAAAACACUUACCUACUUGCUUAAUUUUAAGCAUGUUAGUACUUCUGUUGUGGUCACGAGGACCAGUGGAGCGUUGGCGUUAAGUAGGGCAAUCUUUGCUGAACAGGGCCACAGUGUGAACAACUGCACUGGAGAUGCAGCCAGCAGAAUGUAUGAUAGAGUUCUUCAUGUUUUUAUGAGACGUUGAUGAAUGGGCUUGGACCCUAGGUGUUUUGCAUGCUUUUUUAAGAUUCAAGUUGGCACUUAAGCAUGUUCUUUUAAAAGAAUAAUACUAUAUGACCUCAUCUGAUCUUUUACACUUACUCUUUUGCUUUAAAAAACAACUUCCCCCAAACCUUUUUUUAUAUGACCCAUUAAUAUCUGUGAUUUUUCUCAGAUCAAACUACAUUUUUGAUAUGCUGUAAUGUCCUACUAAGAAGGAAAAAGAAAAUAAGAUAUAGGUAUAUGCAAAUAUAUUUCAUUUUAAUCCAUUGCCCUUUUUUUUAAAUACCAGAUUUGCUGGAAAUGGUGACAAAGAAGUAUUCUGAGAUUUCACACGCUGGGUAAAAAGGGGUGGGGUAGGGUGAACUGGGCUAAAGGAAAAUUUAUCAAAUUGAUAUUUAUGGCAAUAUGAAAGCUAUAAAGCAACUUAGUGACAUGGCUUGCUUUGUAAUUUCCGCUUUCUAAAAACCACAAGUGAGGUCCUUGGUGCUCUUGGAUUAUGGGGAAUGUGCAAAUAUUUAACUGUUUGUAUGCUGCACAUUGCAGACCUGCUAGUGUGCAUUCUCCGUUUGUCUUCCUUUGUCAUUUGUGUUUUGCUUUCUAGAAAGCAAUGUUGGUUUUUUUUGUACCCUUCUUCAGCUUGUAGCAAAAUAGAAUGCUUAGCAUUUAUGUUCAUUCAUUAUUGUAUUUCCCAUGUACAAAUUUUUUUAUUACAUUAAGACAAGCUUAUAAGCUGUUACUACAUAACUUAUCUUACUGUAACUCUUAUUUCCUGACAUUGUAAUUUGUUUGUGAUGUAUAUUGUGAGAUUGUACUCUAUGUUAAUUUAAUCAGCACAAUUCACUGACAUGCUGGACUGACAUGCUAGCUGCUGUUUCAAAUUGUAAAGUUUGUGUAGACCUGUUGGGACAACUGAAACUCUCUUGUCUAGGUACUAUGCUUUGAUUCCUAUAGCAACACUGUGGGUGCAGCUCUUAAUGGUGGGGGCUGCUUGUUGGACACCCACUGGCUAAUUUAACAGGCAGGUUUUCUUUGUAGAAAUUCUAUAUACAAUGCAGGUACCUACCUGGGCCCAUGGCCGGUAAUUAUUUGGGCGUGUAGAGGAAAAACUAGUGUCUAUUGCUGCUUUGAAUAUGUUUUAAAGUCUGAAAAUGUAAAUAGUUUAU